Molecule: long non-coding RNA, 772 nt
Organism: Perognathus longimembris pacificus (Pacific pocket mouse)
Lineage: Eukaryota; Metazoa; Chordata; Mammalia; Rodentia; Heteromyidae
Exons: 4
Source: RefSeq, a predicted model, not a curated record
UGCCCAAGCAGUACAAAUACAACUGAACAGAGUAAGCUAAGACUGUUCAGAGUUCUUUGCUCUGGUAACGCUGGUCUUAACAGUUCAAUUGGGCAUCCUCUAAACUGAGGGAGCCUAAAGAAGAUAUAUAGCCUCCAAACCACAAGUGCUAGAGGAAAGGGUGGGGUUCCAUGUAAGAAGACCCAAGGGAGAUGAGUAGUUCUCUUCAGAUUGUGUUCACUGUCUGGGCAUGUGCAAACCAGUAUGUGUGUGGGGGUGGAAAACAGGAAAGGAUGGGAGGUGAGUAAUGCUGUGGGCACUGAGGCAUUCAGUUAGUGGGAACAUUGCAGGCAGUUGGUGAGUAAGAGCCUAAGGAGCUGGUGACUUCACUCCUGAGCUCUAUAUGAAAGUGCUAGGCUGGCCCUAUCCUGUGUCCAAGAGGGUGCUUUGUAACUGAGGACUGCUAGUUUUCUGCUCUCUGCUUUCAUGCAUCUGGGUGGCCUUUAUACCUGUCCAGGGAGUGGGCCCAGCAAUCAAGUGACCUCUGCAGGGUCCCCAGUUCCUGCUGCUUCUGUACUUGCAGAGUGUAUCUACUCUUUCAUGUGGCCUGGCACCAUAUCACAGUGUGGUCUGCAUGUUUUCCCACUGUUUUUGUUUGAUAUUAUUUUAUUUUAGUGUCAGUAUUAGAGCAUGAACUCUGGGCCUCAUGCUUCUGUUUAGCUUUUUUGCUCAAGGCUAAAACUCUAUUACUUGAGCCCUAGCUCCACUUCUGGCUUUUUGCUGGUUAGUUGGA